GACGAACGCUGGCGGCGUGCUUAACACAUGCAAGUCGAACGGAAAGGCCCUGCUUUCUUGGGGUGCUCGAGUGGCGAACGGGUGAGUAACACGUGAGUAACCUGCCCUUGACUUUGGGAUAACUUCAGGAAACUGGGGCUAAUACCGGAUAGGAGCUCCUGCUGCAUGGUGGGGGUUGGAAAGUUUCGGCGGUUGGGGAUGGACUCGCGGCUUAUCAGCUUGUUGGUGGGGGAGUGGCUUACCAAGGCUUUGACGGGUAGGCGACCUGAGAGGGUGACCGGGCACAAUGGUACUGCGGGAGGGCCCAGACGCGAACGUGAGGCAACGGUGGGAAGUAUGACACAGUGAGCGGACGUCUGUUGCAGCAGCGUCGCGUGCGGGAUGACGGCCUGUGGGUUGAGAACCGCUUUCGCCUGAGACGAAGCGUGUGUGACGGUAAUGGGUGAAGAAGCACCGGCUAACUACGUG
RNAcentral lists this ribosomal RNA (468 nucleotides) under uncultured bacterium. RNAcentral's name for it is "partial 16S ribosomal RNA". It matches the Rfam family "Bacterial small subunit ribosomal RNA", at positions 28 to 507 of the family's 1533-position model. The record is from RNAcentral.